This 38-nucleotide transfer RNA is filed under the name Plagiothecium denticulatum. RNAcentral's name for it is "partial tRNA-Phe". Lineage: Eukaryota; Viridiplantae; Streptophyta; Bryopsida; Hypnales; Plagiotheciaceae. The record is from RNAcentral.
GCCGGAAUAGCUCAGUUGGUAGAGCAGAGGACUGAAAC